GAAGCCCCAGUAAACGGCGGCCGUAACUAUAACGGUCCUAAGGUAGCGAAAUUCCUUGUCGGGUAAGUUCCGACCUGCACGAAUGGCAUAAUGAUGGCCAGGCUGUCUCCACCCGAGACUCAGUGAAAUUGAAAUCGCCGUGAAGAUGCGGUGUACCCGCGGCUAGACGGAAAGACCCCGUGAACCUUUACUAUAGCUUGACACUGAACAUUGAAUUUUGAUGUGUAGGAUAGGUGGGAGACUUAGAAGUAGUCACGCCAGUGAUUAUGGAGUCGUCCUUGAAAUACCACCCUUUAACGUUUGAUGUUCUAACGAAGAUUACGAAACGUGGUCUCGGACAGUGUCUGGUGGGUAGUUUGACUGGGGCGGUCUCCUCCCAAAGAGUAACGGAGGAGCACGAAGGUUUGCUAAUCACGGUCGGACAUCGUGAGGUUAGUGCAAUGGUAUAAGCAAGCUUAACUGCGAGACAGACAAGUCGAGCAGGUACGAAAGUAGGUCAUAGUGAUCCGGUGGUUCUGAAUGGAAGGGCCAUCGCUCAACGGAUAAAAGGUACUCCGGGGAUAACAGGCUGAUACCGCCCAAGAGUUCAUAUCGACGGCGGUGUUUGGCACCUCGAUGUCGGCUCAUCACAUCCUGGGGCUGAAGUAGGUCCCAAGGGUAUGGCUGUUCGCCAUUUAAAGUGGUACGCGAGCUGGGUUUAGAACGUCGUGAGACAGUUCGGUCCCUAUCUGCCGUGGGCGUUGGAGAAUUGAUUGGGGCUGCUCCUAGUACGAGAGGACCGGAGUGGACGCACCACUGGUGUUCCGGUUGUGUCGCCAGACGCAUUGCCGGGUAGCUAAGUGCGGAAGAGAUAAGUGCUGAAAGCAUCUAAGCACGAAACUUGCCAAGAGAUGAGUUCUCCCA
Molecule: ribosomal RNA, 903 nt
Filed under: human metagenome
Description: bacterial LSU rRNA
Rfam family: Bacterial large subunit ribosomal RNA
Source: RNAcentral